Molecule: ribosomal RNA, 497 nt
Filed under: uncultured bacterium
Lineage: Bacteria
Description: partial 16S ribosomal RNA
Rfam family: Bacterial small subunit ribosomal RNA
Source: RNAcentral
GAUGAACGCUGGCGGCGUGCCUAAUACAUGCAAGUCGAGCGAACAGACGAGGAGCUUUCUCCUCUGACGUUAGCGGCGGACGGGUGAGUAACACGUGGAUAACCUACCUAUAAGACUGGGAUAACUUCGGGAAACCGGAGCUAAUACCGGAUAAUAUAUUGAACCGCAUGGUUCAAUAGUGAAAGACGGUUUUGCUGUCACUUAUAGCUGGAUCCGCGCCGCAUUAGCUAGUUGGUAAGGUAACGGCUUACCAAGGCAACGAUGCGUAGCCGACCUGAGAGGGUGAUCGGCCACACUGGAACUGAGACACGGUCCAGACUCCUACGGGAGGCAGCAGUAGGGAAUCUUCCGCAAUGGGCGAAAGCCUGACGGAGCAACGCCGCGUGAGUGAUGAAGGUCUUCGGAUCGUAAAACUCUGUUAUUAGGGAAGAACAAAUGUGUAAGUAACUAUGCACGUCUUGACGGUACCUAAUCAGAAAGCCACGGCUAACUACGUG